This 301-nucleotide ribosomal RNA is filed under the name uncultured bacterium. RNAcentral's name for it is "partial 16S ribosomal RNA". It matches the Rfam family "Bacterial small subunit ribosomal RNA", at positions 509 to 809 of the family's 1533-position model. The record is from RNAcentral.
CAGCAGCCGCGGGAAUACAUAGGUGGCGAGCGUUGUCCGGAUUUAUUGGGCGUAAAGCGAGCGCAGGCGGUCAAUUAAGUCUGAUGUGAAAGCCCCCGGCUCAACCGGGGAGGGUCAUUGGAAACUGGUUGACUUGAGUGCAGAAGAGGAGAGUGGAAUUCCAUGUGUAGCGGUGAAAUGCGUAGAGAUGUGGAGGAACACCAGUGGCGAAGGCGACUCUCUGGUCUGUAACUGACGCUGAGGAGCGAAAGCGUGGGGAGCGAACAGGAUUAGAUACCCCUGUAGUCCCUGUCUCUUAUAA